GAUGAACGCUGGCGGCGUGCCUAAUACAUGCAAGUCGAGCGAACAGACGAGGAGCUUGCUCCUCUGACGUUAGCGGCGGACGGGUGAGUAACACGUGGAUAACCUACCUAUAAGACUGGGAUAACUUCGGGAAACCGGAGCUAAUACCGGAUAAUAUAUGCAACCGCAGGGUUCAAUAGUGAAAGACGGUUUUGCUGUCACUUAUAGAUGGAUCCGCGCCGCAUUGGCUAGUUGGUAAGGUAACGGCUUACCAAGGCGACUAUGCGUAGCCGACCGGAGAGGGUGAUCGCCCACACUAGAGCUGAGACACGGUCCAGACUCCUACGGGAGGCAGCAGUAGGCAAUCGUCCGCAAUGGGCGAAAGCCUGACGGAGCAACGCCGCGUGAGUGAUGAAGGUCUUCGGAUCGUAAAACUCUGUUAUUAGGGAAGAACAAAUGUGUAAGUAACUAUGCACGUCUUGACGGUACCUAAUCAGAAAGCCACGGCUAACUACGUG
This 497-nucleotide ribosomal RNA is filed under the name uncultured bacterium. Its description in RNAcentral is "partial 16S ribosomal RNA". It matches the Rfam family "Bacterial small subunit ribosomal RNA", at positions 28 to 507 of the family's 1533-position model. The record is from RNAcentral.